RNAcentral lists this long non-coding RNA (228 nucleotides) under Ananas comosus (pineapple). RNAcentral's name for it is "long non-coding RNA (ACOM_LNC041771)". The record is from RNAcentral. Lineage: Eukaryota; Viridiplantae; Streptophyta; Magnoliopsida; Poales; Bromeliaceae.
UAUUCAAAAAACUUGAAAUACUAUGUAAUUCAUUUCUCAUAAUUAAUGCUAUUAUUACAACAAAAUACUCAACAGAAGUGAAAUACGAAAACAGCCAUGCAACCGCCUUACUUACAUUCAUAAUUAAGAUGCUACUCUUCCAACCACUUCAUCUUCUAUGCCUUUGUCUUAAUUUACGCAAAGUUACUUUAGUUACAGUACAAAGCUUGUCACAUACAAUAUCAAUCA